UACGGGGGGGGCAAGCGUUGUUCGGAAUUACUGGGCGUAAAGGGCUCGUAGGUGGCCAACUAAGUCAGACGUGAAAUCCCUCGGCUUAACCGGGGAACUGCGUCUGAUACUGGAUGGCUUGAGAUUGGGAGAGGGAUGCGGAAUUCCAGGUGUAGCGGUGAAAUGCGUAGAUAUCGGGAGGAACACCUGUGGCGAAAGCGGCGCACUGGACCACAACUGACGCUGAGGCGCGAAAGCUAGGGGAGCAAACAGG
Molecule: ribosomal RNA, 253 nt
Filed under: uncultured bacterium
Lineage: Bacteria
Description: partial 16S ribosomal RNA
Rfam family: Bacterial small subunit ribosomal RNA
Source: RNAcentral